RNAcentral lists this ribosomal RNA (67 nucleotides) under Staphylococcus pseudintermedius. Its description in RNAcentral is "partial 23S ribosomal RNA". The record is from RNAcentral. Lineage: Bacteria; Bacillati; Bacillota; Bacilli; Caryophanales; Staphylococcaceae.
GGUUCGAGGUGGAAGCGUAGCGAUACGUGGAGCUGACGAAUACUAAUCGAUCGAAGACUUAAUCAAU